CUCUUACCAUCGCGAACUCCUGGCUGCCCUCGGGCGACUACCUUCCACAACUUCCCAGUUUGUUUCAUCACAUUCAGCAUAAUCAUGACGGAAUUGGACCACGGAUAUUUUUCAAGAAUAUGCUUUGAUCGCCCGGUCCAUGCCAAAUGAUAUAAUCACCCAAGAUCCUACUCCUAAGUCGCUACACGCGGUCUUCUAUGAGCUAUCUCCCCAAUUGUGGCCCAUCUUAGAGAAGGACAGCGUCC
Long non-coding RNA from Triticum aestivum (bread wheat), 245 nucleotides. RefSeq lists it as uncharacterized. Lineage: Eukaryota; Viridiplantae; Streptophyta; Magnoliopsida; Poales; Poaceae. The record is from RefSeq and is a predicted model, not a curated record. The transcript is spliced from 3 exons.